Molecule: ribosomal RNA, 253 nt
Filed under: uncultured bacterium
Lineage: Bacteria
Description: partial 16S ribosomal RNA
Rfam family: Bacterial small subunit ribosomal RNA
Source: RNAcentral
UACGUAGGGUGCGAGCGUUAAUCGGAAUUACUGGGCGUAAAGCGUGCGCAGGCGGUUCGUUAAGUUCGUUGUGAAAGCCCCGGGCUCAACCUGGGAACGGCAAUGGAAACUGGCGGGCUAGAGUGCGGCAGAGGGGGGUGGAAUUCCACGUGUAGCAGUGAAAUGCGUAGAGAUGUGGAGGAACACCGAUGGCGAAGGCAACCCCCUGGGCUGACACUGACGCUCAGGCACGAAAGCGUGGGGAGCAAACAGG